GCCUCGGCGCUUCGGCUUCGGCCAUCUUGGCCUUGUCAUGCAUCUUGGCUUUGGCCACCUUGCCGUGCGUGAUCGUUGUUUGUUUUUAUUUGUGCUUUUUAAGAAUAUUUUUUUAAUUCGGAUACUUUUAUAAUAACUUUAAUAGUAUUAUUAACAUAGUGCAUAAAAUCAGUUGGAGUAGCAGAAGCAAUGUAGAUAAAAAAUCUGCAGGAAUAGCGUUUCAAAGCUUUCCAGAAGAUCCUGCGAAGAAGGCAUGAAGUAUUGAUCAGAUUUGUUAAUAGAGCAGUGUGUUCAAAACAUUUUUAGAAAAAGAUAUUGACAGAACUUCACUUUCAACUGUUCGUUUGAGAGACCGUGCUGUUCCAAUAGCUUAUAUCACACAGAAUCAGCUGAGAGAAGUGGUCUACAAAAAACCAGGAAGGAAAUGGAAUAUGUGGCUAUGAAAGGCAAAAGAAAGGUUUACAAAGCAAAUGUGACACAUUUUUUUAUAGGAAUAUCAGUAAAUUACAUUAAAAAAAUGUAUGAAAAGAUUUUUUGCAAUAAAAAUGUUUAUAUUUAUCAAGGAUGUAUUAUUUGGUAUGGCCACAUAUCGUCAGUGAUGUGACAAUACCUCCUAUCUGUUUUUUCAUGAGAU
Diabrotica virgifera virgifera (western corn rootworm) is the source of this 634-nucleotide long non-coding RNA. RefSeq lists it as uncharacterized. The transcript is spliced from 3 exons. NCBI's taxonomy places the organism in Eukaryota, Metazoa, Arthropoda, Insecta, Coleoptera, Chrysomelidae. The record is from RefSeq and is a predicted model, not a curated record.